UGUUCCUACGGGGGCCAGCAGUGGGGAAUAUUGCACAAUGGGGGGAACCCUGAUGCAGCGACGCCGCGUGAAGGAAGAAGUAUUUCGGUAUGUAAACUUCUAUCAGCAGGGAAGAAAAUGACGGUACCUGACUAAGAAGCCCCGGCUAACUACGUGCCAGCAGCCGCGGUAAUACGUAGGGGGCAAGCGUUAUCCGGAUUUACUGGGUGUAAAGGGAGCGUAGGCGGCAGUGCAAGUCAGAAGUGAAAGCCCAAGGCUCAACCAUGGGACUGCUUUUGAAACUGUACAGCUAGAUUGCAGGAGAG
Molecule: ribosomal RNA, 305 nt
Filed under: uncultured bacterium
Lineage: Bacteria
Description: bacterial SSU rRNA
Rfam family: Bacterial small subunit ribosomal RNA
Source: RNAcentral